Long non-coding RNA from Mytilus californianus (California mussel), 212 nucleotides. RefSeq lists it as uncharacterized. The record is from RefSeq and is a predicted model, not a curated record. Lineage: Eukaryota; Metazoa; Mollusca; Bivalvia; Mytilida; Mytilidae. The transcript is spliced from 3 exons.
CAGUUUUGUUGCGAUUUCCACGAGAAAACAAAUAAUGGAUGUGUGGAAUGUGAGGAUGGUUUUGAGUUCUUUCAGGGUUCUCCUUGUAAACCAUGUUCAAACAACACUUAUGGCAACGGGUGUACGGAGAAGUGUGUAUGUACGACUAACCAGCGAUGUGAUCACAUAAAUGGAUGUGCGGACGUUAUAGCAACCGUAGAUUUGUAUCAGGG